CACACACUGAUCGGGUAGGGAGUGGACAGCUUAGCAUGGACUGGACCCAGAUCCGAGGGUGGCCAGUCUGAGGUGAGGUGGUAGCAGUGUCUGGUGCCAGCAGGACCUGUGGAUUCAGGACUCGCAGCCAUCUUGAGCACACAGUGGAAGACAACAGAGACAGGCAAGAGAAACAGGGAUGGGGCAGCUUGAAGUGAGCAGGCAAGCAGUCCCUAAUCUAGCCAUGAAGAAUUGGAAGUGUGGAAUGUAACAACCCGUUCAGAGUGCCUCGGGAGAACAGUCAGUGGACAGAGGAAUAACGGAGUGAAUCCAAGAGCUUCUGCACAACUUGGUUGCCCUGUGAGUCACUGUGUGGAAGACAGCAUGAACUGAACCACAGAGAAAGCCAAGGACUAUAGGGCCUCUACUUCCUAAAAGAACGCUUGCCUCAAACCAAGAGAGAAGUUGGAAGAGUCUUGGGACUUGCACCCCUGUAUGCCUACUUCUUGCACUCUAUUACAGAGAGAGCAUCGUUAAUGCAUUCCCAGGAUUUGGGGUCAUUUCUGAGUUUUAAAAGU
This is a long non-coding RNA of Suricata suricatta (meerkat), 557 nucleotides long. RefSeq lists it as uncharacterized. The transcript has 4 exons. NCBI's taxonomy places the organism in Eukaryota, Metazoa, Chordata, Mammalia, Carnivora, Herpestidae. The record is from RefSeq and is a predicted model, not a curated record.